RNAcentral lists this ribosomal RNA (467 nucleotides) under uncultured bacterium. RNAcentral's name for it is "partial 16S ribosomal RNA". It matches the Rfam family "Bacterial small subunit ribosomal RNA", at positions 29 to 507 of the family's 1533-position model. The record is from RNAcentral.
ACGAACGCUGGCGGCGGGCUUAACACAUGCAAGGCGAACGGAAAGGCCCUGCUUUUGUGGGGUGCUCGAGUGGCGAACGGGGGAGUAACACGUGAGUAACCUGCCCUUGACUUUGGGAUAACUUCAGGAAACUGGGGCUAAUACCGGAUAGGAGCUCCUGCUGCAUGGUGGGGGUUGGAAAGUUUCGGCGGUUGGGGAUGGACUCGCGGCUUAUCAGCUUGUUGGUGGGGUAGUGGCUUACCAAGGCUUUGACGGGUAGCCGGCCUGAGAGGGUGACCGGGCACAUUGCGACUGCGAGACGGCCCAGACUCCUACGGGCGGCAGUAGUGGGGAAUAUUGCGCAAUGGGCGGAAGCCUGAUGCAGCAACGCCGCGUGCGGGAUGACGGCCUUCGGGUUGUAAACCGCUUUCGCCUGUGACGAAGCGUGAGUGACGGUAAUGGGUAAAGAAGCACCGGCUAACUACGUG